RNAcentral lists this unclassified non-coding RNA (485 nucleotides) under Hevea brasiliensis (rubber tree). Lineage: Eukaryota; Viridiplantae; Streptophyta; Magnoliopsida; Malpighiales; Euphorbiaceae. The record is from RNAcentral.
GGACAACGCAGCAGCACCAGAUUAGAAAAACGCAACAGCUACAAAUAGCAGCAGCACGCCAGCACUGUACAGCGACAACAAGAGCAAGUCGAAAUUGAGAUCAAAGAAUAAGCGAAAGAGGGCCGUGGAAGGGUGGGAGAUCGGAGAGAGCAUACGUUUGCUAGCUGAAGUAGUGGUAAGGUCAGAGCAAGCACGAAUGGAGACGAUGAGAGACAUCGAGAGAAUGAGAGCAGAAGCUGAGGCCAAAAGAGGAGAAAUGGAUCUCAAGAGAACGGAGAUCAUUGCCAACACUCAGCUUGAGAUUGCUAAGCUCUUUGCUAGUAUUACCAAAGGAUCAGUUGACUCUUCAUUGAGAAUUGGAAGAAGUUCAUCAUGAGCUAGAAAAUAAUAAUAAUACUCUAGCUAGCUGUGGAAAUAGAAAUUACCUUGUUAUCAUCUUUUAAUUUGAUGAUGAUAUCCUUCUUGACCCAGCCACUACCUAAUUA